CCUACGGGUGGCUGCAGUGGGGAAUAUUGGACAAUGGGCGAAAGCCUGAUCCAGCCAUGCCGCGUGUGUGAAGAAGGCCUUCGGGUUGUAAAGCACUUUCAGUGGGGAAGAAAGCCUUGGGGCUAAUACCCUCGAGGAAGGACAUCACCCACAGAAGAAGCACCGGCUAACUCCGUGCCAGCAGCCGCGGUAAUACGGAGGGUGCGAGCGUUAAUCGGAAUUACUGGGCGUAAAGCGCGCGUAGGCGGUCUGAUAAGCCGGUUGUGAAAGCCCCGGGCUCAACCUGGGAACGGCAUCCGGAACUGUCAGGCUAGAGUGCAGGAGAGGAAGGUAGAAUUCCCGGUGUAGCGGUGAAAUGCGUAGAGAUCGGGAGGAAUACCAGUGGCGAAGGCGGCCUUCUGGACUGACACUGACGCUGAGGUGCGAAAGCGUGGGUAGCAAACAGGAUUACAUACCCCAGUAGUC
Molecule: ribosomal RNA, 465 nt
Filed under: Vreelandella stevensii
Lineage: Bacteria; Pseudomonadati; Pseudomonadota; Gammaproteobacteria; Oceanospirillales; Halomonadaceae
Description: partial 16S ribosomal RNA
Rfam family: Bacterial small subunit ribosomal RNA
Source: RNAcentral